GAUGAAGAACGUAGCGAAAUGCGAUAAGUAAUGUGAAUUGCAGAAUUCAGUGAAUCAUCGAAUCUUUGAACGCACCUUGCGCCCUUUGGCUAUUCUGAAGGGCAUGCCUGUUUGAGUAUCAUGAACACCUCAACUCUCAUGGUUUGCCAUGAUGAGCUUGGACUUUGGGGGUCUUGCUGGCCUACGGUCGGCUCCUCUCAAAUGAAUCAGCUUGCCAGUGUUUGGUGGCAUCACGGGUGUGAUAACUAUCUACGCUUGUGGUUUCCCGCCAGGUAACCUUCAGUGAUGGAGGUUCGCUGGGGCUCAUAAAUGUCCCUCCACAGCGAGGACAGCUUUUGAACGUUUGAUCUCAAAUCAGGUAGGACUACCCGCUGAACUUAAGCAUAUCAAUAAGCGGAGGA
This 401-nucleotide unclassified non-coding RNA is filed under the name soil metagenome. Its description in RNAcentral is "partial contains 5.8S ribosomal RNA, internal transcribed spacer 2, and large subunit ribosomal RNA". The stretch from base 1 to 121 matches the Rfam family "5.8S ribosomal RNA", at positions 35 to 154 of the family's 154-position model. The record is from RNAcentral.